AUUGCUUCUUGGCCUUUCAGCUAAGAUCAAGUGUUGUAUCUGUUCGUAUCAGUUUAAAUCAUUCUGCACCAAAGAUAUGUCUCUUCUUCUCCAUUUAUUAAUUUGUUCACUUAUU
Molecule: small nuclear RNA, 115 nt
Organism: Equus caballus (horse)
Lineage: Eukaryota; Metazoa; Chordata; Mammalia; Perissodactyla; Equidae
Gene: U2
Rfam family: U2 spliceosomal RNA
About the family: U2 is a small nuclear RNA (snRNA) component of the spliceosome (involved in pre-mRNA splicing). Complementary binding between U2 snRNA (in an area lying towards the 5' end but 3' to hairpin I) and the branchpoint sequence (BPS) of the intron results the bulging out of an unpaired adenosine, on the BPS, which initiates a nucleophilic attack at the intronic 5' splice site, thus starting the first of two transesterification reactions that mediate splicing.
Source: Ensembl